Non-coding RNA from Danionella cerebrum, 71 nucleotides. NCBI's taxonomy places the organism in Eukaryota, Metazoa, Chordata, Actinopteri, Cypriniformes, Danionidae. The record is from the annotation of a GenBank genome assembly.
UUUCUUUUGGCUCAGUCAGUAGAGCAUUGCGCUAAUAAUACAAAGGUUGAGACUUCAAACCCCAGGGAACU